AGAAUCAACGCUGGCGGCGUGCCUAACACAUGCAAGUCGAACGCGAAAGGGACUUCGGUCCUGAGUAGAGUGGCGAACGGGUGAGUAACGCGUGGGUGACCUACCCUCGAGUGGGGGAUAACGUUCCGAAAGGGACGCUAAUACCGCAUGACAUUCCGGGUUUGAAGACCUGGAAAUCAAAGCCGGGGACCGUAAGGCCUGGCGCUCGAGGAGGGGCCCGCGUCUGAUUAGCUAGUUGGCGGGUAACGCCCACCAAGGCGACGAUCAGUA
RNAcentral lists this ribosomal RNA (270 nucleotides) under uncultured soil bacterium. RNAcentral's name for it is "partial 16S ribosomal RNA". It matches the Rfam family "Bacterial small subunit ribosomal RNA", at positions 26 to 285 of the family's 1533-position model. The record is from RNAcentral.